CCCUCUUCUUCCCUCUUUUUUCUUCCUUCUUUUUCUUCCCUCUCCCUUCUCCUGCCUUGCAAGUCAGUUGUGAAAGCCUUCCGCUUAACGGAAGAACGGCAUCUGAUACUACAGGGCUUGAGUACGGGAGGGGAGAGUGGAACUUCUGGUGGAGCGGUGAAAUGCGUAGAUAUCAGAAGGAACGCCGGCGGCGAAAGCGACUCUCUGGUCCGAAACUGACGCUGAGUGUGCGAAAGCUAGGGGAGCAAACGG
Molecule: ribosomal RNA, 252 nt
Filed under: uncultured prokaryote
Description: partial 16S ribosomal RNA
Rfam family: Bacterial small subunit ribosomal RNA (bases 43-252)
Source: RNAcentral